GAAGGAUUGUGGGGACGGCUCUGACGAACAGACCUGUCCUGAGCCUGCCGCAAUGACUGUGGGGACAACAGUGACGAAGCCGGCUGCAGCCACUCCUGUUCUAGCACCCAGUUCAAGUGCAACAGCGGGCGUUGCAUCCCCGAGCACUGGACCUGCGAUGGGGACAAUGACUGCGGAGACUACAGUGAUGAGACACACGCCAACUGCACC
Molecule: long non-coding RNA, 210 nt
Filed under: Homo sapiens (human)
Lineage: Eukaryota; Metazoa; Chordata; Mammalia; Primates; Hominidae
Description: HSALNT0189957
Source: RNAcentral